CUAGUAACGGCGAGUGAAGCGGCAACAGCUCAAAUUUGAAAUCUGGCCCUCGGGUCCGAGUUGUAAUUUGCAGAGGAUGCUUUUGGCGCGGUGCCUUCCGAGUUCCCUGGAACGGGACGCCAUAGAGGGUGAGAGCCCCGUCUGGUCGGACACCAAGCCUAUGUAAAGCUCCUUCGACGAGUCGAGUAGUUUGGGAAUGCUGCUCUAAAUGGGAGGUAUAUGUCUUCUAAAGCUAAAUAUUGGCCAGAGACCGAUAGCGCACAAGUAGAGUGAUCGAAAGAUGAAAAGCACUUUGAAAAGAGAGUUAAACAGUACGUGAAAUUGUUGAAAGGGAAGCGCUUAUGACCAGACUUGGGCCUGUUGGAUCAACUUGGGUUCUCCCGGGUGCACUCCCUCAGGUUCAGGCCAGCAUCAGUUCGGCGCGGGGGAUAAAGGUUUCGGGAACGUGGCUCCCCUCGGGGAGUGUUAUAGCCCGUUGCGUAAUACCCUGCGCUGGACUGAGGACCGCGCGAAAGCAAGGAU
RNAcentral lists this ribosomal RNA (522 nucleotides) under Thelonectria lucida. Its description in RNAcentral is "LSU rRNA". It matches the Rfam family "Eukaryotic large subunit ribosomal RNA", at positions 80 to 624 of the family's 3401-position model. Lineage: Eukaryota; Fungi; Ascomycota; Sordariomycetes; Hypocreales; Nectriaceae. The record is from RNAcentral.